Molecule: long non-coding RNA, 6958 nt
Organism: Anopheles merus
Lineage: Eukaryota; Metazoa; Arthropoda; Insecta; Diptera; Culicidae
Exons: 3
Source: RefSeq, a predicted model, not a curated record
GCCUCUGGUUCGUGCAACUGUAUUGGGGCAGCCUUUACACACGCGAAGGAAUGUCAAACAUUUUCACCACCACGCUCUCUGAGCCGUUCGAGUUGUGCGCGUGAGAGAUAGAGCGAGAGAGAGAGCACACUCAUGCCAGCGCGCGCGUGAGACGAAACGAGCGAGUGAGAAAGAGAGAGAGAUCGAAAAAAGAGCGAGAGCGGCACAGCAUCGCCGAGAGCGCGCUGAACAGCUGAACCAAUACAAAAGCUGACGGGCCCGCAGCGCAACAAAAGAGGGAAAGAAACACACACAACCGCACAUCCUCAACGCACGUCAGGCGAGGAGCAGCUCCGAAGAAUACCGAAGAAACGCCAAACAUUCUCAGAAAGACAGGUAUCGAGUGAAGUCACAGUUUCCGCGUGCAGAGCUCUUUGGUGGUGUGGUUCGGUGUGGCCGUGGUUCGAACCGUGGCCGUCCCUUCCCGCAGCGGCCAGCGGAAUCAGUGUGUUGUGUGGCGCAAGAUCGGAUCGUACCCUGGAAACCAAGUAUGGGCGACCCAAUAGAAAACGGAAGACGAGCAAUAAUUAUGCGCCCAUUCAACAACUUGCAGCAGCAUUCAGGAGAGUGCCAGAAGUGCAAUGAAAAAAUCCGGAGCAACCAUCCUCACUGGGUGUGUUUCUGUGUGUGCGUGCACGUACGUGACAGCCAGCUGGCGCUAUACAGGAUCGCCAACGACGACGACCCCCCCCCCCCCCCUCCCGUCAGAGGGUGAUUGCAGUCAAUAAUAAUCGUGCUGGUUGUGAAGAAACCGGUACAUUAUCAAGCAACGCCCCGUCGCUACAUCCUCCAAAACGCUGAGAUGUGAAUUCUCUCCUCGAAUGCGGGGUGGCAAAACGCAGAACGACGACACCACUACCAUCCAAUCAUCACGGCCCCCCCAACAGCUUGUUGGCAAUCGCGUGGUACAAAAAAAAAAAAGAGCAAGAGAACCUGAGGACGAGGAGCGCACCCCUUAUCCCGGUAUGACGGUUCCGCGGGUUGCUGCUAUUUCGUGAAGGAGAACACCACCACGAGAUUUAAAUGAGUUUUCGUCGCCCCACUGCUCCCCGUUGUGGAGCCGAUGAUGUUGCGCAUCCCACACUAAGGCAAAAGUGCGGCGAAGAGAAGAGAACAAUCUCUGUAAAAGAGCGGUGAAAGACAAGAAAGAAAGAAAAAAAAAAACAAUCUCGCACAACCCAACCCUGAGAUUCCACGAUCAUCUGCGAUCCCACACACGGGCACAACGGUGUGUGAACCCCGCGUGUUGUGUGCAUUGAAAACCCAGAAGUAAUAGGAAGCGAAAAAGAGAGAGAGAGAGCGAGAGUAAGUGCGCACGCAAAAGGGCGAAAUGGUGAAACACACGGAGCAAAAGAAGAGAUUCCCUCGUGAGAAACGACACUUCGGGCAACGGCACAAAAGCCCCCGGAGGUCGGCCGAAUCCAGUUCACUUUGUCCCGAUUCCGACUGUUGCUGCUGCUGGUGCUGGUGCUUGGGUUGAGUGUGUGAAUCUUCCCUCGCCUGCUCGCUCGCACGCUGGGAUUAUGGUCACGUCCGUCCUGCAGAUCCCGUCCCAUCAGCACACCAUCAUCAUCGUCCGUGGUGUGUCCUACCGAGAAGGAUGAAGGUGGUUGGUUUUGGCAUUGUAAAACCGGCGGUGCGCGCGCGGCGGCGUUGCACAAACGUCAAGAGAGCACAUCGUCGGUUGCGGUGUGGUGUGUGUGUGUAUGUGAAUGUGCGUGCGCGCGCGCGGUCGAGUGGGUUGGUUUGGUGGUUGGGCCCGGGAUCGGUUUUUGGUUCUGCACCAACCAACCAACCCAACAACCAUGGUGGCGCGAAUGGUGGCGACGGGGACGGAGUUGUUCUCACGAGAAAAUGUACAAUUUUCUGGGAACCGGACCGAUUCCGAGAUGAUUUCCGCUAUCUUUCUACGCGGGGCCCCCGAUGCGAACGACACACGCGCUCUUGCCCGCGCCCAGGGUUGCCUCUCCACCGCUUGAUUGUCCCGCCGUAAUGUUGUGUCUCUUACUCUGCAGCUCGGCGAAAGAAACUGUUGAUCGUUUCUCAGUUGUUUUUGUUUUUGUUUAUGGCCAAAAUGAUAUGGAGAUCAUCAUUAUAAACAACAAAAAUUGAACCUUUUGCGCGCCUGCUCGAAAUGUUAUUGCUGGUCCGUUGGUUUCCCUUCAUGCUCACGGCACGGGAAAUAGGCCAAGCAGGUCAGAGAGAGAGAGAGAGAACACCAUUCUCCCCGACUGCAUUUAAUCAUUGUUUAUGUUGCAAUCAGCACAUUUUUAUUGAAUCUACCGGAUGCUACAUGAUGAUCAUUCGAUUAUUUGAAGAUUAUUUGAAUGUUUGAAUUCGAAUUAAAAAGUGCGUUUUACUGCUCUCUCUCUCUUCCAAAAGACCAACCAGUGUUUGAGGUCCUCUCCGGUUCGAUCGGUGCCAUCAAGUUGAGCCUUUAACUUAUCAUACAGCAAGAAAGAAACUGUGCUGCGGCCUAUGUGUGAUUCUUCGCCACGCCAAGAAAGAUGGCCAACGGGGGGUGUGGAGAAGUGGAAGAAAGCAGAAAGGCAACGAAACAACAUUCCAUUCGCCUGUCGGAGAAUGUCUGCGCUGCUGUCGGGCGCGCUGCAAAUUCUGGACAGGGCCGACGACGGCACACACACACACACUUACCGCACUCACAUUAAACCAAGAAACUCCAAAUGGGGCCUGUGAGGGGCAAGGAAAAGAAAUGAUCCCACGGUUUGUGUGUCUCUGUCGCUGUGUGUCUGUCUGUCUGUGUACGAGUGUAUGCUGCCCUUCGAUGGGGCCCGUGCACAUGCAAAAUGGAGCAAAAACAGAGGGAAACACGACGCAUGUCACAAAGUGAAGGGGGGGGGGGGGGAUGGUGGCCAGAGAUCGAACCGGUGGAAUGUGUGUGCGAUUUAAACACACGGAACGAUUAGUGAUGAAGGGUAAGGGAGGGGGGGGGGGGUGCCUUCGGAUCUCCCCAAAAUACGUCCGUCGUGUCAUCCCAUAUGCGGUCGCGCUUGGUGUGUUGCUGCUGCGAACAUAUUUGCUAUCAUUUUAUGCUUUCGGUGGUCGGGCGGGUUCGUUUUCCAAUUUCUUCGCUCUCUGGUUCUGUGGGUGUGUUUGUGUGUGUGUGUGUGUAUACUUUUAUAUCUUUUGCCUACACCCUUUUUCGGUUUCUUUCGCCCCGUUCGUUUUGGGGUUUGCGUUCGCCGGCUUUUUCUGUGGUUAGAAUGUGGUUCUUUCUCUAAAUAGAGAGGGAGGGAGAGAGACAGGGAGUGCCCAGUGUUGCGGUGGAAUGUGUAGCCGGUUUUCAUACACCCCCCCCCCCCCUUCCUCACGGGCCAUUUCUCGAGCCUGCUGGUAUGCUGGUUGUGUCUGUGUGUCCCCCUUUUCUUUCCUUCCUUCUGCACGUAGACAUGACGGGAGAGAGAAGGUGGUGCUGAGGAUCGCGCUCGAUCGCCACUCUUUGCUGGGAGACUGGUGCCACCCAUGGGAGAGAAGGUGGUGCUGGUGGUAACGGCGCGAAGGAGAGCGAAGCGCAAGCCAAGCCGCCGGUGGUUGGUGUUUAAAGGAAAUUUAUGAAUGAACUCAAUCCAUUCCAUCGGAGGAGCCUUCUGCGCGCGCGGCAAGUUCAACGAACUCUCUCUGCGCCUCGCUGCACGGCGGGACGGUAGAUGGCCGUUUGAAACGAAUGGUGUAUUGCAUUGGCGUGUUUCGUUCGAUCGUUCGAGUGUGUGUGUGGGUCUGUGUAUUAGAGGAUGAGAUUGUUCGAUUGACACCAAGAAGCAAAGGAAUGUUGAAGGAUGGAGGGGAAGGUGGGAGACACGUUAAAUGUUGCUGUGGUGUGGGCCCAACAGCGAUAAAAAUGUCUGCGGCGGCGAUAUGGUUGGCUUAGUUUAUGCUAAAACUAAUGCUAAAGCUUAGCAGCAAUACCCGUGACAAUUUUCGUGAAAUUGCUUGAGAGCUUCCUUACUAUGAACUAUAUUUAAUUAUCCAUCAUUUUAUGGGUUUCUCAUAUUUACUAUUCAGUGAAGCUUGGUCAUAAUCCUUCUGGUCAUUAAGAGAAGUUCCGAUGCGCACUACUCAACCCUCAAUAUUUGAGAAAGUAGCUGAAAUCAUUAUCAAAGGCACAAUAGAUACCAAUUUCAGGUAUGGCCUUUUCUUUCUCCAACUGCAUGAUGAUGGUUGCACCAAAUAAUCAUACAGGGAGAGGUGCGGGUUAGGUACGCGUGUAAGGGUUAUCGAAGGUUCAAACAAGUGCACUGCAGCGCGCACUGCACCUCAUCCAUCCACGCUGUUCUGUAUGUAGUGUGCAUUCAGUCGACUGCGUCCAAUUAGAAACUCCAUUCCAAUGCAACGCGCAGCUCGCGGCUCAGCGGCGCAACCACACUCGAAUGCCGUCCUCCGUUCCCACCUUCUUCCCAUAGCCACACGCCACUUAAGUCACGCAAUUGGAUUGGGUUGGGUUUGGAGAGAACAACGCACGGAAUGCGCUCCCCGAUUGUUGCAGUUAAUAAAGUUAUUAAUGGAUUGCACCAUGCAUCCGCUGCGCGCUAUCGCGGCGGUAUUUAUUUUUCUACCCCGCGCGCGUCUGGUGGCGGCCGGUCACAAUCCGCCCUAGUAUUAGUAGUCGUAGUUCUUCGACACCUCUAUCUCGAGUCACAAUUCGACCUAGUUUUUGAGCAAACACACAACCCAGUAGUAGUAGCAACAUAGCAGCGAGCGACGAGAGGUUCAUGUUCCGAUUUUCCCCGUUCAUUGGGUCCAUCUUAUCCCAGUGCGUGACGACGACGCGACACUUACGGCGAUCCGUGGUGCGCGUCGUUCGGGGGGACGGUUUGCGCAAGCAGUGUAUAUUGCAGCAGGCUGUUUGCCUCUCACUUGCGGUUUGUGGGUCGGCGCAUGCGUGCGUUGUUCCGGCUGGCGAAAGAUGGAUGGUGUAUGUUGUGCUGUGUAUUUUCAUGACUUAUUUCCUAACGCGCAGCGGACUGCUAUAAACUGCUGCCGCUGCUGGUUGCGGGAGAAGGGCGAGGGCAAAGAAUGUCUCUAAGUCGUGCGAGCGAGACUUACUUCCGGUUGUGGAUGGGGAUUCUUUUUUUCACUUCUCUUCUGCCGUCAUCUAUCAUCUGCUCUCGAAAUCAUCGGGAGUAACGGGGGUUGUUCCGUUUCUUCCGGCAAUGUCGAGACAACGACGGUUGGUUGUGUUGUGUUGGGAGUGUAUUUCUGUCCCUUGGUUUUGUGUGUGUGUGUGUGCUCUGUUGUAAGAGAGAGAGAGAGAGAGUAUGUGUCUGUUAUAUAUUGCUGAUAUGGUUGCGAGAUCAUUUGGAAGCAAUUGAAGUUAGCUUAUUUGCAUUUUUUUUUUUGAACAUCUUUCUAAAUAUCUGGCAACUUGUUACCGUAUUUGGUGAUAAUAAUAUGGUUUAGAUUUUUUUUUUAAUUGCCAAUGUUAGAAAGGAGCUAUUAAAAGGAAACUCUAUCCAUUCCUUCGUUUUACCCCAUCUUUUAUGAAUUAGCAACUUAUCCAGUUCCUCUUUUCUAACACAAACACGCCGCCGCCACGCUACAUUUGAAUAAUGGGUGUGGGAAUCGCGAGAAAUCGUGUCGUCAACGCGCGGCGCAUAUAUUUGGCCACAUUCAAUCAUCGUUCACAAAUUGGGGGAAAAGAAAAUAAAGCAUUCACUGGCUGUGUGUGUGUGUUUUUUGCGCUUUUCGUACCUUCCGUUUUUACACGUAAACCGUUUUGCUACUUGCCGUGGUUUUUUGUUUGCCAAAGAGAGAAAGUAGCAGCUCUAGCGGAUUGGGAAAGGGGGAAAAGUAGUGAAACACACUCCGCUAAGGAAGGGAGGGAGGUCCGUCAAGCGGAAAGAAACUAGUUUGGGCGAGCCAUAGCAAAGUAGUUACCUUCGGCUGGUUGAGAAGUGGCUUUGUGUUGGCUCUGUCUUAUCCUUUUCAAAAUAAACCUCUUUUACCUCCUUUUUUGUUUGGUUCAAAGCCGAGCUGACCUUUAACGCGCGAGAGCGUGCGAGCCCGGCUUUGAGCAGCCUUUAGCAAAGAGUUUUUGGGCAUAUUUUACACAACUGACUGUUAAUGUGGGGCAAAAACCCUAAAAAAUGAAGACAAACGCACUCGAAAAAACGGAGGGAACUGAAAAAUAAAUUAACGGGAAAACCCGCGUUACAAGAUUAGAUUCUCAUGCAUUUUUUUUUUGUUUGUGUGGCACCAAUGAAGAGGGAGAAUCAAGCGCGCGCACUGCCUUGCGUACGCGCACGGGAGUGGUACGGAGUGGUGGUGUGGCAUGACAAAGCGGAAGUGAAGGUACUACCACUCUACACACACGCUAACAGUUUCGUUAAAACCUUCACGUGUGGUGAUGUAAUUGUGUUUGAUUUAGACGCACACACACACACGUGAACCCUUGUGGGGUGCGAUUUUCGCGUUUUUAGAAGAUGAAAUGUGCGCACAACUCUAGCGUUAAACGUGCGUCGGCUGCUUUUCGGACUCGACGAUCUCUCUCUCCCUUUCUCACUGCUACUUUCUACUGCGCUUGCGUGUGUUUGGUCGGGGAAAAGUAAAAUCUUUGUGUAUAAAGAGACGCGGUUCGAAUGGUGAAGGCAAAUGUGUUCGUUCGUUCGUUCGUUCGUUUCAUGCGUGCUUGCUGGUUUAGUUUCCAAAUUUCGCGGAAAUUUGCGAGCGUGUUUCACGAAGGGAGGUUUUAAGAGGGGGACUGCUAGGCUACCAACCAAGGAAAAGGAGUUGGCACGAAACAACGGAGCAAAGCGGCCUUUUAGAGUAUACGCAAACAAGGUUGUAGGAGGUCCAACCAAUCUCCAAAGUUCGAUUCCCUUCGAUCGGAGUAAAACUAACGGCAUCUGUUUAAAAUCAUCGUAACAUAUCAAGCUGAUCUCACUCAAUUUUUUUUUCAUUA